CCCUUAGAUGUCCUGGGCCGCACGCGCGCUACACUGAUGCAUGCAACGAGUUUAUAAACUUGGCCUGAAAGGUCUGGGUAAUCUUUUGAACGUGCAUCGUGAUAGGGAUAGAUUAUUGCAAUUGUUAAUCUUGAACGAGGAAUUCCUAGUAAACGCGAGUCAUCAGCUCGCAUUGAUUACGUCCCUGCCCUUUGUACACACCGCCCGUCGCACCUACCGAUUGAAUGGUUCGGUGAAGAUCUCGGACUUCGAUAUUUAUUCUUUAUUGAGUUUAUAUUGUGGGAAGUUAUCUAAACCUCAUCAUUUAGAGGAAGGUGAAGUCGUAACA
RNAcentral lists this ribosomal RNA (328 nucleotides) under uncultured eukaryote. RNAcentral describes it as "partial 18S ribosomal RNA". It matches the Rfam family "Eukaryotic small subunit ribosomal RNA", at positions 1470 to 1796 of the family's 1831-position model. The record is from RNAcentral.